This 561-nucleotide ribosomal RNA is filed under the name Rhodotorula glutinis. RNAcentral describes it as "eukaryotic LSU rRNA". The stretch from base 169 to 323 matches the Rfam family "5.8S ribosomal RNA". The record is from RNAcentral. Lineage: Eukaryota; Fungi; Basidiomycota; Microbotryomycetes; Sporidiobolales; Sporidiobolaceae.
CUGCGGAAGGAUCAUUAGUGAAUCUAGGGUGUCCAAUUUAACUUGGAGCCCGAACUCUCACUUUCUAACCCUGUGCAUCUGUUAGCUUGGUUAGUAGCUCUUCGGAGUGAACUCCAUUNACUUACAAACACAAAGUCUAUGAAUGUAUAAAAGAUUAUAACAAAACAAAACUUUCAACAACGGAUCUCUUGGCUCUCUGCAUCGAUGAAGAACGCAGCGAAAUGCGAUACGUAAUGUGAAUUGCAGAAUUCAGUGAAUCAUCGAAUCUUUGAACGCACCUUGCGCUCUUGGUAUUCCGAGGAGCAUGCCUGUUUGAGCUGUCAUGAAAUCUUCAACCCACCUCUUUCUUAGUGAAUCUGGUGGUGCUUGGUUUCUGAGCGCUGCUCUGCUAUCGGCUUAGCUCGUUCGUAAUGCAUUAGCAUCCGCAACCGAACUUCGGAUUGACUUGGCGUAAUAGACUAUUCGCUGAAGGAUUCUAGUCUCGUACUAGAGCCGGGUUGGGUUAAAGGAAGCUUCUAAUCCUAAAGUCUAUUUUUUGAUUAGAUCUCAAAUCAGGUAGGA